Molecule: long non-coding RNA, 1001 nt
Organism: Saccostrea cuccullata (small rock oyster)
Lineage: Eukaryota; Metazoa; Mollusca; Bivalvia; Ostreida; Ostreidae
Exons: 4
Source: RefSeq, a predicted model, not a curated record
UCUUUUAAUUUUCAUGUUUUGACAUUCUUAUCAUCUCUUUUUAUCUCAGCUACAAGUCUAUGUAUUAUUUUUUUCCCAAAAGAAUAUGAGGAGCAUUGGCAUGGAGUCAUAUGUGCAUCCAGUUGUACUCAAGUCACAUUCUGAAUGAAUAGUGUAAGUGGUACCAGUUGUCAAUGUCCCUGGUUUUGUCUAUGCUAUAGACAAACCCAGUGGAUUAAAAAACUGUUUUGAGCCACUCACUCAUAAAACUUCAGAAUGUGACUUGUACAUAGCCUUGGUUGUGAUAGAAUCCAAGAAACAACAGUUCUUGGUGUGCACUUGCUUGCCGCACAAACACAUUGAAGAGGAAGAAUAUAAGGAGCAUUGGCAUGGAGUCAUGUGUAUCCAUUUGUACUCAAGUCACAUUCUGAAUGAGUAGUGUAAGUGGUACCAGUUGCCAAUGUCCCUGGUUUUGUCUAUGCUAUAGACAAACCCAGUGGAUUAAAAAACUGUUUUGAGCCACUCACUCAUAAAACUUCAGAAUGUGACUUGUACAUAGCCUUGGUUGUGAUAGAAUCCAAGAAACAACAGUUCUUGGUUUGCACUUGCUUGCAGCACAAACACAUUGAAGAAGAAGAAUAUAAGGAGCAUUAGCAUGGAGUCAAGUGUGAAUUCAGCUUUAUACAAGUCACAUUCUGAAUGAGUAGUGUAAGUGGUACCAGUUGCCAAUGUCCCUGGUUUUGUCUAUGCUAUAGACAAACCCAGUGGAUUAAAAAACUGUUUUGAACCACUCACUCCUAAAACUUCAGAAUGUGACUUGCACAUAGCCUUGGUUGUGAUAGAAUCCAAGAAAUAACAGUGCUUGGUGUGCACUUGCUUGCUGCACAAACACAUUGAAGAAGAAUAUAAGGAGCAUUGGCAUGGAGUCAUGUGUGCAUCCAGUUGUACUCAAGUCACAUUCUGAAUGAGUAGUGUAAGUGGUACCAGUUGCCAAUGUCCCUGGUUUUGUCUAUGCUAUAGAC